GCUUUCGUGGUGUAGUGGUCAGCACGCUGCACGCGUAUUCCAGAGGUCUGUGGUUCGAGUCUCGGCGAAGGCG
This is a non-coding RNA of Stegodyphus mimosarum, 73 nucleotides long. The record is from Rfam. NCBI's taxonomy places the organism in Eukaryota, Metazoa, Arthropoda, Arachnida, Araneae, Eresidae.